UAAGGAGGCGUAUAGUCAGCUGCCAUUUUUUUGUGAAAAAGUGAUGGAGACAAAUCCUGGAAGUCUUGCAACUUUCACAACAAAGGAUGACUCAAGCUUUCACAGGCUCUUUGUAUCAUUUCAUGCUUCACUCUAUGGCUUUGAACAAGGCUGCAGGCCCCUGCUUUUCCUUGAUAGUAUAUUUUUGAAGUCCAAAUACCAAGGCACUCUGUUAGCAGCAACAGCUGCUGAUGGAAAUGAUGAUGUUUUUCCUGUUGCUUUUGCCAUAGUAGACUCAGAAUCUGAUGAUAACUGGCAUUGGUUCCUAUUACAGCUUAGAACUGCAUUGUCAAUGUGUCGUGGUAUUACCUUCGUGUCUGAUAGAGAGAAGGGGCUUAGAGAGUCAAUUGCUGAAAUAUUUCAG
This 403-nucleotide unclassified non-coding RNA is filed under the name Hevea brasiliensis (rubber tree). The record is from RNAcentral. Lineage: Eukaryota; Viridiplantae; Streptophyta; Magnoliopsida; Malpighiales; Euphorbiaceae.